This 77-nucleotide transfer RNA is filed under the name Sediminivirga luteola. RNAcentral's name for it is "tRNA-Leu". It matches the Rfam family "tRNA". Rfam says of the family: Transfer RNA (tRNA) molecules are approximately 80 nucleotides in length. Their secondary structure includes four short double-helical elements and three loops (D, anti-codon, and T loops). The record is from RNAcentral. Lineage: Bacteria; Bacillati; Actinomycetota; Actinomycetes; Micrococcales; Brevibacteriaceae.
GCCCUCGUAGCCCAAUCGGCAGAGGCAGCGGACUUAAAAUCCGCUCAGUGUGGGUUCGAGUCCCACCGGGGGCACCA